Small nucleolar RNA from Mercenaria mercenaria, 280 nucleotides. The record is from RefSeq and is a predicted model, not a curated record. Lineage: Eukaryota; Metazoa; Mollusca; Bivalvia; Venerida; Veneridae.
GUCAUAUGAUGAAUCUAGGUUGGCAUAGACACAAUAUAAACCAGAGUAUUUCAUUGUCUGAAAUCUUGGUGGCUAUACUGAAACUGUGUGGUCAUCGUAAGGCCGGACAUAUAUUACUGGCACGCCCCAUUGUUUGGGUUGGGUAUCGCUGGGGUGCUUUAGGUCUGACUUCCAGAGAUGGAUGGGUGCUGUGUCGAACAGAGACUUUCUCAUGGGCUUGGGUUGGAUUUUUAAGGGGUAAACUAGUGUCUGUGAUGUCAUAUUUAGUAAUCUGAUGACA